Non-coding RNA from Rhincodon typus (whale shark), 387 nucleotides. The record is from the annotation of a RefSeq genome assembly. NCBI's taxonomy places the organism in Eukaryota, Metazoa, Chordata, Chondrichthyes, Orectolobiformes, Rhincodontidae.
UUUACAUUUAAACCAGAAACGAUGUGUUCUUCACGUUUCUUGCUGAUAGGACUGAUCUUGAUGCCUGGUACAAGUGGCAUCGAUUCAGUCUCUCAGGAUACGUCUGAUUUAACAGCUCGGGAAGGAGAGACUAUCACACUGAACUGCAGUUACUCCACGUCUGAUACUUAUCCUUACCUCUUCUGGUAUAUUCAGUACCCAGGGAGUUCCCUGACGUAUGUAUUGAAGAGAUACGGCAAUGAUCUGGGAGAGACUUCUCUAAAUUUCCGCAGCAGGUUCGCUGCUUCUUUGGACAACAAACAAAAAAUUGUUACCUUGAGAGUCCUUAGGGUUCUUGUCUCUGACUCCGCCGUGUAUCAUUGUGCACUGCGUCCCACAUUGUUAUAG